AUCUAUGGCCAUGCCACUCUGAACAAGCCCAAUCCUGUCUGAUCUCGGUAGCUAAGCAGGGUCGGGCCUGGUUAGUACUCAGACGAGAGACUACCUAGGAGGACCAGGUGCUGUAGGCA
This 119-nucleotide ribosomal RNA is filed under the name Pteropus alecto (black flying fox). The record is from RNAcentral. RNAcentral also lists the same sequence under 1 other name. Lineage: Eukaryota; Metazoa; Chordata; Mammalia; Chiroptera; Pteropodidae.